Molecule: long non-coding RNA, 510 nt
Organism: Pyrus x bretschneideri (Chinese white pear)
Lineage: Eukaryota; Viridiplantae; Streptophyta; Magnoliopsida; Rosales; Rosaceae
Exons: 4
Source: RefSeq, a predicted model, not a curated record
CCCAGCGAGAACCACGGUCUCGCCUCCAUCCUAUCCUCCAGUCGCCGCCGUCUCCCUUCUCUAGGUAGGGUGUUGUGCGUGUGCGGUCAUGCUUGAUGAUCGUGGAAGCCAAUGAUUCAGCUACGACAUAGCCUCGACUCUGCUUCCAUCUCCAUUUUCUCUCCUCGCCUUCUCUCUCAGAAACUACGAAGCACAACGAUCUCUUGUUGAAAAACCUUGAAUUUAGUCCCACUUCGAAGGAAGUUUUAAGCCCAUAAAAGCCUUGGUUUCCUGUUUAUUUUGGGGGUUUACACUAAAAUUGAGGAAGCAUAUAUGAACGCAAGGGCUCGAGGAUGUACGACAACUUGGAUAAGAUAGGAUUGUUCUCUUUGGAAGCUUCUCUCCAGCCUUGAGCUUCUUCUUGCCUGGUGCCUUCUCAUUGAAUAUUGGAGCAUUAAACCACAGGUAAUAAAUGUGGUCCAACCAGUGGCUAAUAAAAUGUCAUUGUAUAUAUGCUUUUGUUGAUUUCUG